GUAGUUUAGUCGCCUUUAACCGGCCUUAAAGUGAAGAUCGGAUCGCCGCCGAUUACCGUGCGCGUGCACAAGAAAGAGAGAGUUAGAGCCACCGGCUUACCGUACGGAUCGCGCCGAGAAUGAAAUUCUUUCUUUGCUUGGUAAAAUACAGCAGCAGCAGUUGUAGUAGCAGCAGUCUUUCGUUGUACAACAGUCUCGAUAAUACAAGAAAACGAGUGGAAAGUUUACGGCCAAACGACAGUAGUACCAGUGGCUGCAUCGCCUGAACGAAUUUUUCUCGUCGAUAAACACAACACUACCAUUUUUCACGCGUUCCGUCUGCUACGGGCAUAACGAAGGAAAUCGACGCCGUUUUUUCUUUCAUUCUUUUUCGUCCUUUUUGUUUACGUAUAGUUUGUUGCUCAGUGCCGCGUAAUAGUUCGGUUUCGCGAGGCUCAUCCAUCAUUCGAGACCGGGCCAAACAGAAUCUAUAGACAACGCCAUAUAGAAGAAAAAGAGGCGGGACGCGCCUAAGUUUGUUUUAUUGGUUUAGUUUCUAGCGCGAGACUCGAACUCGCGCCAAAGUGUGUUCCACAGUGGAGGAUACUAUCUCUCUUUUGGGUUACAACGAUAGGUGGCCGACAGGCAAAAUGCCGGUGCCGGUUUGGGACUCCUCUGACCUGGGCCUGUUAGGCGAGCCCCUGGACACUGCGACAGUGGUGUCCGACGACAUAUGGAAAAAGUUCGAUCUUCCGGACUUCCUCUCUAUAGAUCACAGAGUGGACGCCUACACGGAAAUGUAUUGCGAGCGCACCUUCGACGAUGGCAUAUUGUCGGAUCCACAGUACGACAAGACCUGCCUGUCUCGAGAGAUACGUCAUCACGACUGUAUGUGGGCAGGGUUAUGCAUCAGUAAAGAACACAACAGAACGUUGCCUGCGAAAAAGGAGUCGCUAAUACAGAAAAAGGUGCCGGCUGGUCGAAGCCUUUUGAUAUCACGAGCAAAUACCGCUUUUAUAGGGACUUCGUUGGCAGUCAAUCAGCAACAGGCUCAGCAACUGUGCAGUGCAAGAAAUCUGGAGAGCGACGGCGAAUCCACUAGGCCGGAUACACCACAAAGCUCCAGUUCCGAUACAGAAACAGAGGACGAAGGUCCGUUCUUUCGACACGACCAGAUCAACAUACACGAGAAAUUAUCCGAGUGUAUAUCAGCACCAACUACCAAAACUGCACGAGUAAGCCAGAAUAAGCGGAAGACUGGUCGACGUGGCAGAAGAAAAGAGCAGGAUCAGUGUCAAGUGCAUAGAGAGACGAAUAUCAGAAAUACUCUCAGCGACCAUUGCUAUCACUUGAAUCAGUCGUUCAGCAAGAAUUUAGAACACCUUGGAGUGCAGACACCUUCCGAUUCCGAGGAGGAAGAGAUCGAUGUGGUAAGCUUCGACAAACCGUGCAGACCAGCGGUUUUACCAACGAAUCCAAGUUUGGCCGACCAGCAACACUUUCAAUUAACAGUUAACACCGCGUUCAAAGAGAAACCACCAGGUUCGAGACCUCGUGGUCGACCGCCCUCGAAUCCAGCACGGAAAAGAGCUGCCCAGGUCGAGCAAAGGCCAGCGAAACGAGCUCGUCACAGGACCUGUCAGAGGAGAAACAAGGUAGGACGCACCAUGUCGUCUACGUCCGUAUCGUCUUCGUCCGUAUCGUCUUCGUCCGUAUCAUCUUCACCUUCGAUGAGAUCAACCACAUCAAGAAGUUCCUCCGACGAUGAAUUAGACACUGAGAAGAGGAGAGAGCAUAACAACAUGGAACGUCAAAGGCGGAUAGAGUUACGAAAUGCGUUCGAAGAGUUACGCAUUCUCGUGCCAGCUGUUGAGAAAAAGGAGAAGGCACCGAAAGUCGCGAUUCUCAGGCAAGCGUCUGCAUAUCUUGCUUCGUUGACCUCGAAGGAAAUGGGCAAUGCAGCCAAGGUGGCGGAUUUGAGGCGGCAACAGGAGAAACUUCGAGCGUCGCUCAGUUAUCUAAGGAGGAGUCUCGCCAUGACGCGCUAAGGGAGAGACUCUGACCGUGUCGGAUUUACUCCAACACGACAAAGAUAAUACCUUGCUCGGAACGUUGUAGAAUCGAACUUGUUACCCUGGUGGAUCAAUGACAAAUCUUCACUCGGCGUUUCGAUAAAGACCGCCUGCCUUGUCCGUUUCGAUCUGGGUAUUCACUUUCGGUCGCGCGACAGACGAGUGGGAAGAAGGCACUUCAAACAACGUGUUUCGGAGAGUCAGAAGUGCGCUGUUUGAAGAGACAUAGAAGAGCCUGGUCCUGGUCAAGAGAAAAGAGAAAAAAUACUGUGUUGUGGUUCUGUGAUUCACUUGGGCGGAUAUGGGAAAACCGAAUCUUUUAAAAUCUGUUUUACCAUAGAAGAAACAAGUAUAUAUGUGUAUAGACACUUGCGUAAGAACAAAGAGAAAGUUAGGCCGAAGGGAGAAUCGAAGGGUGGAUCAAGGGUGAAUGCGUAUCGAGAACAAAGAAGGAAUACCGUUCGCGUCGAAUCGGCAUCGAGUGCUGGAAGAAAUCGAAAGAACCGACGCAAACAGCUUCGAAAAGAAUAUUUAUACGUAUAGGUAUAUUUAUAGAAAAGAUACUUCGAAUGGCGAGUUAAUAAAGAGAGGCGGAGAAUUGAUCGUAGAUUGCUUUGGCCAAAUUCACGAAGUUAUCUAUGAGAACGCAAAAUUGAGUUUAGCUAGUUUAGAGAGAAAACGUUAUCGACAAUAGAUCUUCAGUUUUUUGUUUUUUUCUCUCUUUUUUUGUUAAUACACAUACAUGUUACAUUAAGAAAAAUUCACGAUUUACGAGGCUGAAUCGUCGCGAAUAGCGUCAAUUCCAUUUUUAAUCCUUCGAAUUCUCGAUCAGUGUCAUCUUAACGCGUUAUAGACUAAGACCGGUUUCCGAGCUGGGGAAUGUUAUAUAUAUUUUAGAGAAAAUGUUUUAAGUUCAUGAAGAUAUUCGAAACGUUCGACGAGAUCGAACGACACCGCAGUCCGCUAUUUAUCACGCAUUUUUUACGCGUUUCUGCACGUUUUGUAUAACACGCUCGUAUACACACGAGCUUUUCUUUUUCACGUAAAACAUGCAUUUAGGCGAGUCGAGACAAAUCCGACGAGAGAAAGCCAAAAAUGAACAAGACUCUACGAUUGUUAUUAAUAAUAGUCUCGACUGUAUUGGAUUUGGAAUCGGCCUCGAAUCGUUCGAUAUCUCGUCGUUGUUUGGAAUUUCGUUCUGCGAUGCGAAAUCCAUGUACGACGGAGGAAAACGAGGCUUAUUAUCGAACGUUAUCCGACGUUAGUUGCACCGGUUCCGAACUAACUGGUCUUAGGACGCAUUUCAAAGCUGAACCGGUUUCUAGGUAUAUCUUUCAUUUUUAGGAAAUGAACGAGAAAAAGAAUAAUAUAGAAAAGAAAGAAGAGUGGGAAGCACACGCAGAUUCUUUUUCCAAAACUCGUAUCGAUAAAUCGCAAUAAAGAUACGAAAGAAAUAGCUGCUCGUGAUGCUGCUUGCUUUUUACAUCAGCGAUUUUGUAUGAAAUAGUCGAGAUAAACCUGUAGUUUGACAGGUUGCCAUUUAAACUUGUACAAGAUAUUCGCCUUAUAAUUACGGUACUGGUAUUGUCAUUCGAUCGAAACGAAAUUCGUACAGAUUCACGCAUUAUCGUACGAGUUUUGGUAAUUGAACGAGUGCAAGGCACGAAUUACGCGUGUGACUUCAGAACUGUUAUAUUCCUCGCAAUCCUCGCAAUUUCACGUAAUUUGAAAGAUUUCAAGGUAGAAAUUAUAGCAAGUCUCAUUAAUAUUAUCUCAUAUGAUCGAGCAAAACCGUCGAGAUCCCGAAAUCCCGAUGAACGUGUUCCAAAGAGAGGCGUGUUUCGCGUUACGGGUAGGAAACGCGUGUUCGACAAUGCCAUUCAACAUGGAAAAAGAAAAACCAUAGAUGACUGGUCUGUUAACAAUACCUAUUCACAAAUAUCUUCCUUAUCGAAUUCCAUUGUUUUCUCCAUUGCAAUCUCGCGUUGUUUUUUUUUUUUUUUUUUAACAGCGUCGCUAAUAGUAGUUACUUACCGAUCGAUUGAUGAUCGCUGUGCGAUCUUUACGUUUUUCGACGUUUCACGCCUUCGCUAGCAUGAAUCUAAACGCGUUCUAUAGUAGAGUGAUUGUAUUCUGGUAAUCUUGCAAGUAGGUGAAAGAUCGUAUGAGUCACAAAACGUGUAGGUAGAGACAGUUUGCACCUAGUACAUACGCGUUAUGUAUGUACCGUAGGGCACAGAGAGAAAGUCAUAGACAUACACGCAUACUACAAAGAGAUAAUAUUAGAAAUUUAGUCCGGGUACCUUACACACACACACAUAUAUUCCGUUUUUGUUACGAAUACAUCAGAUGCAUCUUCAUUUCGGAUCAUUUCGGUACGCGUAACGAUAUUAGCGAAAUUCGGGUUUGGAGUCGAAGUCCUGUCUGUCUUUUGUCUACCUUCUUCCUCGUUCUUCUAAUCCGGUUAUGGCGCAAAACGGAUACAAACGCGACAAAAAUCUCGUAAAUGGUAGUUUUCAUUCUUUUCUUCGCGCCUCUGUUUCCUUCUUUCCGCCGAUAUUUCGCGCAGAUAAAUACGCCACGAAGAUCGACGAAGCACACCGAUCUUCGUGGAUGAGCGCCUAUUCACGUGUGUUCAGUUUUUAUAUGCGAGUGUGUAGAACUCUUUAAACUGGUGCAAUAAGAGACACGAAAGAAUAUUACCUUCGUGGUAGAUCGUUAUUUUGUUGUUAAACGAUCAUCGGUAUCUAGCUUAUCCAAGAAAGAAGUAGACAGGGCGCUGAAAACUCGAGACUAAGGAUCGAAUUGUUCACUUUCUUAUUUUCUAUCAUUUCUCGUUUUUAUAAUACAAACGAUCGAUCCGAUAUCUGUGCUCGGUUUCGAAGCUUUUCUACGGCUGAGAAACGUCGAGUUGGAAAGGAAGAGACGUCAGAUCUCGCGCUACCAAGAGAUUGUAAAGGUUGAAGAGAAAACUAACCUCGAUUAGCAUGUUUUCAUUUUUUUUUGUAUUUAGGACUUUUUGUUUUCCUUCGUACACGGUACACGUUCGUUAAGGUGGAUGCUGAACGGCAACACACGGUUUUAUAACAAGAAGGAAAUCUUUUUUAUCUGAUUAAGAUUCGUGCGGAAUACGCUUUUUAAACGCGUGUAAAUAAUGUACAUACAUAUAUAGGACAAUAUAUAAACAUGCAUAAAUAAUACAUAGCCAUGUAUGCAUGUACAUUGCAAAUUAUAGACGCUGAAGCGUGUAAGUAUGUAAGGG
Molecule: RNA transcript, 5313 nt
Organism: Bombus impatiens (common eastern bumble bee)
Lineage: Eukaryota; Metazoa; Arthropoda; Insecta; Hymenoptera; Apidae
Gene: Myc
Gene name: transcriptional regulator Myc-2-like
Exons: 4
Source: RefSeq, a predicted model, not a curated record